RNAcentral lists this non-coding RNA (157 nucleotides) under Pseudorhodobacter sp. RNAcentral's name for it is "6S RNA". It matches the Rfam family "6S / SsrS RNA". From Rfam's summary of the family: E. coli 6S RNA was the first non coding RNA to be sequenced, but its function was unknown until recently. It consists of 184 nucleotides that fold into an extended hairpin structure with a large single-stranded internal bulge. Lineage: Bacteria; Pseudomonadati; Pseudomonadota; Alphaproteobacteria; Rhodobacterales; Paracoccaceae. The record is from RNAcentral.
CGGGUACUGCUCGGUUCGUGAUUGGCCCUUUUCCAGUGGCCGAUAAGCAUCUCCGAGGGAGCUGGCUCUGUCAAGGUUCUGGCCUUGGUAUCUGGCGACCACCUGAACACUCAGGCUCUCGGGAAAUUCAAGCCGACACGGCUGCUGCGGUUCCUGC